This is a long non-coding RNA of Oncorhynchus tshawytscha (Chinook salmon), 387 nucleotides long. Lineage: Eukaryota; Metazoa; Chordata; Actinopteri; Salmoniformes; Salmonidae. The record is from Ensembl.
GUACCCUAGUGGUUAGAGUGUAGGGGCGGCAGGUACCCUAGUGGUUAGAGUGUAGGGGCGGCAGGUACCCUAGUGGUUAGAGUGUAGGGGCGGCAGGUACCCUAGUGGUUAGAGUGUAGGGACGGCAGGUACCCUAGUGGUUAGAGUGUAGGGGCGGCAGGUACCCUAGUGGUUAGAGUGUAGGGACGGCAGGUAGCCUAGUGGUUAGAGUGUAGGGGCGGCAGGUACCCUAGUGGUUAAAGUGUAGGGGCGGCAGGUACCCUAGUGGUUAGAGUGUAGGGGCGGCAGGUACCCUAGUGGUUAGAGUGUAGGGGCGGCAGGUACCCUAGUGGUUAGAGUGUAGGGGCGGCAGGUACCCUAGUGGUUAGAGUGUAGGGGCGGCAGGUA